Molecule: ribosomal RNA, 440 nt
Filed under: uncultured bacterium
Lineage: Bacteria
Description: bacterial SSU rRNA
Rfam family: Bacterial small subunit ribosomal RNA
Source: RNAcentral
CCUACGGGGGGCACCAGUGGGGAAUAUUGGACAAUGGGCGAAAGCCUGAUCCAGCAAUGCCGCGUGCGUGAAGAAGGUCUUCGGAUUGUAAAGCACUUUCGACGGGGACGAUGAUGACGGUAACCGGAGAAGAAGCCCCGGCUAACUUCGUGCCAGCAGCCGCGGUAAUACGAAGGGGGCUAGCGUUGUUCGGAAUUACUGGGCGUAAAGCGCGCGUAGGCGGAUAGAUAAGUCAGAGGUGAAAUCCCGGGGCUCAACCCCGGAAUUGCCUUUGAUACUGUUUAUCUUGAGUGCAGAAGAGGUAAGCGGAAUUCCGAGUGUAGAGGUGAAAUUCGUAGAUAUUCGGAGGAACACUAGUGGCGAAGGCGGCUUACUGGUCUGCAACUGACGCUGAGGCGCGAAAGCGUGGGGAGCAAACAGGAUUAGAUACCCCUGUAGUC